UGAAUACGAGAUGCUACGGCGUCGAAGCAGUCUAUGUCAUACUUCCAAGAAAAGCUUGCACUGUCAUAAACAAAUAAUGCCUGUACCAUAACCGACACAGGUGGGUAGGUAGAGUAUACUAAGGGGCGCGAGAUAACUCUCUCUAAGGAACUCGGCAAAAUGACUCCGUAACUUCGGGAGAAGGAGUGCCUUAUUUAUAAGGUUGCAAUAACAAGAUCCAAGCAACUGUUUACCAAAAACACAGGUCUCCGCUAAGUCGUAAGACGAUGUAUGGGGGCUGACGCCUGCCCAGUGCCAGAAGGUUAAAGAAGUUGGUUAGCAUCCGCGAAGCUGAUAACUGAAGCCCUGGUGAACGGCGGCCGUAACAAUAACGGUCCUAAGGUAGCGAAAUUCCUUGUCGGGUAAGUUCCGACCCGCACGAAAGGCGUAAUGAUUUGGAUACUGUCUCGGAGAGGGGCUCGGUGAAAUAGACUUGUCUGUGAAGAUGCGGACUACCUGCACCAGGACAGAAAGACCCUAUGAAGCUUUACUGUAACCUGAAAUUGAAAUUGGACUUUACUUGCGCAGUAUAGGUGGGAGGCGUUGAGAAUAUUCUUGCGGGAUUAUUGGAGCCAUCAGUGAGAUACCACUCUUGUAAUGUUAGAUUUCUAACUUUGUAUCAUUAUCUGGUCAAAGAACAGUUUCAGGCGGGCAGUUUGACUGGGGCGGUCGCCUCCUAAACAGUAACGGAGGCGCACAAAGGUUUCCUCUGAACGGGUAGAAAUCGUAUCUAGAGUGUAAAGGCAUAAGGAAGCUUGACUGUGAGACCUACAAGUCGAGCAGGGACGAAAGUCGGUCUUAGUGAUCUGACGGUGCUGAGUGGAAAGGCCGUCACUCAACGGAUAAAAGUUACUCUAGGAUAACAGGCUGAUCUCCCCCAAGAGUUCACAUCGACGGGGAGGUUUGGCACCUCGAUGUCGGCUCAUCGCAUCCUGGGGCGGUAGUACGUCCCAAGGGUUGGGCUGUUCGCCCAUGAAAGCGGUACGCGAGCUGGGUUCAGAACGUCGUGAGACAGUUCGGUCCAUAUCCGGUGUAGGCGUUAGAAUAUUGAGAGGAGCCUUCUUUAGUACGAGAGGACCGAGAAGGACAUACCUCUGGUGUACCAGUUAUCGUGCCAACGGUAAACGCUGGGUAGCUAUGUGUGGAGUGGAUAACCGCUGAAAGCAUCUAAGUGGGAAGCCCACCUCAAGAUAAGUAUUCUC
This 1241-nucleotide ribosomal RNA is filed under the name metagenome. Its description in RNAcentral is "bacterial LSU rRNA". It matches the Rfam family "Bacterial large subunit ribosomal RNA", at positions 1564 to 2815 of the family's 2925-position model. The record is from RNAcentral.